GUCACCUUCCAGAGCCUUCCUGCCCUUCAGGACAUCAACUCUCCCACCCAAUACCAACUUGCAUCCAGGUCUGGCUGACAGACCUGUAGUUCCCCAGAUCCUCCUUUUGGCCCUUCCUGUGGACUGACAGUCUAUUUGCCAGCCUCCAUUUGUCUGGGGCCUGCCUGGUGAGCCAGGACUGAUGAUAAAUGAUUGAAAGUGGAUUGGUGAGCUUUUCCAUCAGCCCCUGCUGUGCCCUGAGGUGAAGUCCAUCCAGCCCCAUAGAACAGUGUGUGUUUAAGUGGUGCACAGACAAAGCUGAAGAGGGCUAAGGAGAAUCCUGUUUAAUUCUUCAGUCAGCUGUGAAAUGUGAAGGGCUGGUACUGCACCUUUAGAGUUGCACAUCUUGAAAAGGUGUAAGAUUGAGCAGGGAUCUUUUCCAGGAGGAUACUCAUCUGUUUCGCUUGAAAAGCUGGCAGGGACCAUGAGUGCGAGAAGGUAGAUUGAGAGGAAAAGGAAAUUGAACCAGUGCAGUGGGGUUGCAUUAAUAACCAUGAGAAUAAAGUACUCAUACUGUUUUUGAAAAGGAUAUU
Non-coding RNA from Cyanistes caeruleus (blue tit), 572 nucleotides. NCBI's taxonomy places the organism in Eukaryota, Metazoa, Chordata, Aves, Passeriformes, Paridae. The record is from RefSeq and is a predicted model, not a curated record.